UGCGCAGGCGGCUCUUUAAGACAGGUGUGAAAUCCCCGGGCUUAACCUGGGAAUUGCGCUUGUGACUGGGGAGCUCGAGUGCGGCAGAGGGGGAUGGAAUUCCUGGUGUAGCAGUGAAAUGCGUAGAUAUCAGGAGGAACACCGAUGGCGAAGGCAGUCCCCUGGGUCGACACUGACGCUCAUGCACGAAAGCGUGGGGAGCAAACAGGAUUAGAUACCCUGGUAGUCC
This 229-nucleotide ribosomal RNA is filed under the name uncultured bacterium. RNAcentral's name for it is "partial 16S ribosomal RNA". It matches the Rfam family "Bacterial small subunit ribosomal RNA", at positions 568 to 796 of the family's 1533-position model. The record is from RNAcentral.